Molecule: ribosomal RNA, 166 nt
Filed under: uncultured bacterium
Lineage: Bacteria
Description: partial 16S ribosomal RNA
Rfam family: Bacterial small subunit ribosomal RNA
Source: RNAcentral
GCUAGUAAUGGCAGGUCAGCAUACUGCCGUGAAUACGUUCCCGGGCCUUGUACACACCGCCCGUCACACCAUGAGAGUUGGGGAUACCCAAAGCCCGUGAGCCAACUUUUAGAGGCAGCGGUCUAAGGUAGAAUCAAUGAUUGGGGUGAAGUCGUAACAAGGUAAC